Small nucleolar RNA from Hemicordylus capensis (graceful crag lizard), 97 nucleotides. RefSeq annotates it as Z30 small nucleolar RNA. The record is from RefSeq and is a predicted model, not a curated record. Lineage: Eukaryota; Metazoa; Chordata; Lepidosauria; Squamata; Cordylidae. The transcript has a single exon.
GGGCGAUGAUGUGCAAAGUAUAGUCUGACCUGGUAUUGCAAAGACUUCGGUUUGGACUCUGACCAGGACGUGAUCACGCAAUCUUCUCUCUGAGCCA